RNAcentral lists this ribosomal RNA (330 nucleotides) under uncultured eukaryote. RNAcentral's name for it is "partial 18S ribosomal RNA". It matches the Rfam family "Eukaryotic small subunit ribosomal RNA", at positions 1470 to 1796 of the family's 1831-position model. The record is from RNAcentral.
CCCUUAGAUGUUCUGGGCCGCACGCGCGCUACACUGAUGCAUUCAACGAGUCUAAAACCUGGUCUGAUAGGGCUGGGUAAUCUUUUGAAAGUGCAUCGUGAUUGGGAUAGAUGAUUGCAAUUCUUCAUCUUCAACGAGGAAUGCCUAGUAAACGCAAGCCAUCAGCUUGCAUUGAUUACGUCCCUGCCCUUUGUACACACCGCCCGUCGCUCCUACCGAUUGAAUGAUCCGAUGAAUACCAUGGAUUGAGAGUACGAAUGGGUUCGCUCAUUUCUGCUGCUCGAGAAGUGGAGUAAAUCUUAUCAUUUAGAGGAAGGAGAAGUCGUAACA